CUUGAUUGUUGAUUCAUAGGGUUAGUUUCAUGAUCAUGGUCUCCCGACCUCUAAUCCUUUACCUAAGUUGAACCUUACAACUACAUCAUUUAGCGGGGAUGUAAUGAUUCAAUUAGGUUAUUUAAGCUAUCACCCCAUGCGUGAACCAAGUAAGGUAUCUAAGUAUAUUCCUAUCCUAGACACUAAUUCAAAUUCCUUAUUUCAU
Molecule: long non-coding RNA, 205 nt
Filed under: Capsicum annuum
Lineage: Eukaryota; Viridiplantae; Streptophyta; Magnoliopsida; Solanales; Solanaceae
Description: long non-coding RNA (CANN_LNC022435)
Source: RNAcentral